Non-coding RNA from Phaeosphaeriaceae sp. PMI808, 86 nucleotides. Lineage: Eukaryota; Fungi; Ascomycota; Dothideomycetes; Pleosporales; Phaeosphaeriaceae. The record is from the annotation of a GenBank genome assembly.
GUCCUUUUGGCUUAAUGAUAAAGCGUGUCACUAGCGAUUCAGUGUUAGGUAUGAUACGAUCGCUAAUUCGAUUCUGGUAGAAGGCA